This 484-nucleotide ribosomal RNA is filed under the name uncultured bacterium. RNAcentral describes it as "partial 16S ribosomal RNA". It matches the Rfam family "Bacterial small subunit ribosomal RNA", at positions 30 to 507 of the family's 1533-position model. The record is from RNAcentral.
AUUGAACGCUGGCGGCAGGCCUAACACAUGCAAGUCGAGCGGAAGAAGCGAGCUUGCUCCCGGAUUCGGCGGCGGAGGGGUGAGUAAUGCCUAGGAAUCUGCCUGGAAGUGGGGGAUAACGUCCUGAAACGGGCGCUAAUACCGCAUCCGACCUUAUGGCGCAAGUGGGGGAUCUUCGGACCUCACGCUAUCAGAUGAGCGUAGGUGGGAUUAGCGGGUUGGAGGGGUAAAGGCCUACCAAGGCGACGAUCCGUAACUGGUCUGAGGGGAUGAUCAGACACAUUGGAACUGAGACACGGUCCAGACUCCUACGGUGGGCAGCAGUGGGGAAUAUUGGGCGAUGGGCGAGAGCCUGAUACAGCCAUGCCGCGUGUGUGAAGAAGGUCUUCUGAUUGUAAAGCACUUUAGGCUGGAAGGAAGGACAGUAAGUUAAUCCCUGGCUGUUUUGACGUUACCGACAGAAUAAGCACCGGCUAACUUCGUG